AGAGAUUUCAAAAGGCCUACAGAUCUCUCCUUCGUUGGGGACCCUGCCUCCUCGGCACGGCUCCCUGCAUGGGAGGACUGUCCCAUUCAAACUGCGAGGGGACAAAAGCAGCUGUCUUUCCAGGGGGUGAAAAACAAUAGCAUCAAGUCUUCCCAUAAACCUCAACAAACAUGCAAACACAGACGUGAAAAUAGGAAUUACAAACCCAAGCAGUGUGGAAAUGGGACUCAAACUCAAGACUUCCGCCUGUCUUUUUCAAGAUUCGGAGAAUGAACUCAGCACGCCUGCUGCAUCUUAAGGCAGAGAGCCAGCUCCAUGAGGACCGCGACACUGCGUCCAGGACAGUUUGCAAAGAUUGCAGCAGUGCCUAGGGCGUUCGCUGUGAUGCAAUGGAUCAACGGUGUCUCUGCAGCCACAGGAAUGCAGGUUCCAUCCUGAGCCCGGCACAGCGGGUUAAGGAUCCAGUGUUGCCCUAGCUGCAGUGUAGGUCACAACUCUGGCUUGGAUUCAGACCCCAGCCUGGGAAC
RNAcentral lists this long non-coding RNA (527 nucleotides) under Sus scrofa (pig). Its description in RNAcentral is "lncRNA (ENSSSCG00065072075.1)". Lineage: Eukaryota; Metazoa; Chordata; Mammalia; Artiodactyla; Suidae. The record is from RNAcentral.